UUAAGUCAUAAAAAGCUCACGCACAUCUAAAAUAAAAAGCUAGAAGAAAGAAAUCAUUUCUUGCAACUUGAGGCAGGGCACUCAAAUGAAAAGGAAAGACGAGGCGGGUUCAGGCGAGGCACUGGCGACACUUGGACGCUAACUGCUGCUGCCGGCUGGCUACCACAACACUCCGAGUCAUUUCUCUUUCUCUCAGUUGGCUUGCGCGACAUAUUGGGCACAUGGUAUGCUACAAGGAUUAUGUCACAACUGACAAUGGAUGAAAGGACAAGCGGGAGGGAAGAUUAAACAUGAAAAUUAAAGCGAAAGGAAAAUGAAACGACAAGUAUAUAUUUGUAAAAGAGGGACCCAUCAACCAGUUAACAUUUGGCCUGUUGAGGCAGGAUACGCGAAUAAAUGUCAAGGGGUGGAAACAACUUGCUUCCCUUUGUGAUAAUGUG
Long non-coding RNA from Drosophila willistoni, 440 nucleotides. RefSeq lists it as uncharacterized. The transcript is spliced from 2 exons. Lineage: Eukaryota; Metazoa; Arthropoda; Insecta; Diptera; Drosophilidae. The record is from RefSeq and is a predicted model, not a curated record.